Molecule: long non-coding RNA, 1028 nt
Filed under: Olea europaea subsp. europaea
Lineage: Eukaryota; Viridiplantae; Streptophyta; Magnoliopsida; Lamiales; Oleaceae
Source: RNAcentral
CCGCCACGAAAUUCCCUUUAUUUAUGAACUCGCUUUCUUCAAUUGGGCUACGUCCUCUUCGGAAUUGUCUGAAAUUUCACCGUUAUUGGUGGACAUCUACAACAAAAUGAUCAACCUUUCUGGAAAAGUGCGUCAAUUUAAUGUCUCCUGGCACUUGAUUGAUUUAAUGAAGUAAAAAAGUAUAGAAAUCCCAAUUAAUACUUUCUCGAUUUUGAUUCAGUGUUAUGCUCGUGCUGGGCUGGAUGAGGAGGCCAUGCAUGCUUUUAAUAGAAGCCGGAUGUGACCAUGUAUAAUUUUUCGAUUGAUAGUCAAUUGCAGGGGCAAGAAUCGAGAUGAGGCAAUAUAUUGCUGCGAAUGUUUGCUGAGUCUUAAUCAACUAAUAUGGUUAUUAAAAUUAAAAAAGAAAUAGACGAGAGUGAAGUUGAGCCUAAUGUGAAUACUAUCCGAAUUCUGAUUUCAGUGUACUGCAAAAUGGGCCUCUAGAACAAUGCAUACACUUAUCUAAAAGACAUGGUUGAGGAGAAGAGAUUGAGACCGAGUGUGCCAACUCGUAAAAUGGUUUUGGAGCAGUUAAGGAAAGCAGAACAGAUAAAGAAGCACGAGGAAUUGGUAGAAAAAAUAGUGGGCUUGGGGUUUAUAACUUGUCCCUUCUAGGAACACUGUGUUAUAAAGAAGCAAGUCAGCUGAAGUGGGGAAACAAAGGUAUGAGAAACACCAGGAAGUAGACAAGCAACCACCGAUUUUUGAAAUCAAGUGGCGUCGCUUUGAAUAAAGGAAACGGUGCCAGUUUGAGUCAAUAGUGAUGAAUGUAAUAGAAAUGCAUUUUAUACAUUGCAUUUUCAUAAAUGCGUUCAUUCCUUCUAUUUUGCUUAUAAUUGAUGGGGGAGAGGAGAAAUAAGAGCGCGAAAAAGAUCAGGGACAAUGUAAACUUUCUCUCUUUCCCUUUCAAGAUUCUAUUCUUCUCUCUUUACUUUCUAUGUUUUGUCGUUGUCGUUCUUUCUGUAAAGUUCAGUUCAACUAAUAGAUUU